This 856-nucleotide long non-coding RNA is filed under the name Vigna radiata. RNAcentral describes it as "long non-coding RNA (VRAD_LNC011679)". Lineage: Eukaryota; Viridiplantae; Streptophyta; Magnoliopsida; Fabales; Fabaceae. The record is from RNAcentral.
NCAUCCAUGUUAGUUGUUUCUCCCGUUUCUGAGAAACCAUUGCAGAUUUCUCCAUACUAAUAAUUUUUCUCCUUUGUCUAGCAAUAGUAGUAUCCCUUUCAUCCAAAUUUUCUUCAUUGCGCCAUUUAAAAUAAUUGCAUCCUUGAAGUUCUUCGUUUCGAGUACGCUGUUCAAAACAUCCAACCACAACCAUUUCAUUACUCAAAAAAUAAAAGUAAUCACAAAAAUUAAAGUACAACCAUUGAACAAACCUUGUAAUUAGGGCAUCCCCAAAACUGUUUGCCGUCGUUCUUCACCGUUUUAGCCACUCUCAACACAGCAACCUCCCCACAAUGACAAAUGUUGGUUUCAACCAAUCCUCUGGAUGAAACAGCACGAGAGCUCCCCCAUGAGCAAGACGAACAACACUGAUGAUUCAAUGNCAUUGCCACUUCCUAAGCCAACGCCAAAAGGACACAACCUCACAACAAUACUUUCUCACAGAAGAAAGAAGAAAACAAAGAACAAGUAUAGCAACAACAGUAAACGCACCAAGCUCAGCAAACCCUAACCAAGACGAACACAUUCAUNAAGCGCGCAUCUGCUUUCGAAAGCCCGAUUACGAUUUUUCACUCUUCGUCAACUCACACUUUGUCCUCUAUCUUGAUUGNGAUUUUUCACUCUUCGAAAGCCCUAAUUUAAUUUAGUUNUGUGAGUUAAAAACCCCAAAAUCAUUUAUUAAUUAAAUUUCCCCAAUUGUAUCUAAAUAAUUGACAUGGCCGACACGUUGCAAUUCUCUGCUGCCAAAUCAUCACUCACUUAACACUGUAAGUCUGCAAUUAACGGAGAGGACCUAAUUGACACACAUUUUUCUAUU